CCCGCAUAGCUCAGUUGACAGAGCGUUGGACUACCCCUCCAAAGGUCGCCGGUUUGAAUCCGGCUGUGGGCA
RNAcentral lists this transfer RNA (72 nucleotides) under Paramuribaculum sp. Its description in RNAcentral is "tRNA-Gly". It matches the Rfam family "tRNA". Rfam says of the family: Transfer RNA (tRNA) molecules are approximately 80 nucleotides in length. The record is from RNAcentral. Lineage: Bacteria; Pseudomonadati; Bacteroidota; Bacteroidia; Bacteroidales; Muribaculaceae.